UAAGAUAUAUAAAUUAUACUUAUUAGCUUGUUUAACAAGUAAUGUAAGUAUGUAAAGAAAUUAUUAUGCAAUUCUAGCUAUGUAUUAAGGAGAGCAAAUUUUAUAUAAAAAGGAAUAUUAUAUAUUCCUAGUUAAUAAGCUCUAGAAUAAAUUUAAUAAUAAACGAAGUGAAGUGAAAUAUCUCAGUAACUUCAGGAAAAGAAAUCAAAAGAGAUUCUAUGAAUAGCGUGAGCGAAAGUAGAUAAGUCUAUUAAGUAAAAUGGUUUAUAAACUGUUUGAAUGGGGAACCUUCCUCAAAGACUAAAUAUGAUACAUAAGCGAUAGAUAAUGGGCCGUGAGGUAAUUAGAAGUUAGUAGUAAUUUUAUAAGCAGUUCUAAUAAAUUUAGUUUAAAGAACGUACCUUUUGCAUAAUGGGUCACCAAGUUAACAUUAGAUGCGAGAAAAUUUCGUAGUUAAACCAAACAUUAAAAUAACGAUUAGUGUCUAAAGUUAGACCCGAAGCCUAGUGAUUUUACUAUGAUCAGGAUUAUAAAAGUCCGAACGGGUGAUUGUGGCAAAAAUCUCCGAAGAAUCGUGGUAGGUAUAGUGAAAGACAAUACUGACUAGGAUAGCUGGUUUUCUGCGAAACCUAUAACAGUAGGCAAUUUAAGUAAAUAUCUUAGCAGGUACAGAAUUUAAUCUCAGGCAGUGUUAUAUUGCGCAAAUUGGGGAAUCGUGAAGAUUUUAUCAGUGAGUAUGUAGACUCGGAAUGGCAAAGAUAUAUCUUGAAUGAUCAGACAUAGAAUGAUAAGGUUGUAUGUCAAAAGGGAAACAGCCCAGAACAAGAGUUAAGGUUCCUAAAUUAUUUGUUAAGUGAAAGUAAGAAAGUUUUUAUUAAAGUCGACAAGGAGAUAGGCUUAGAAGCAGCCAUAAUUUUAUGACCUCGUAACAGAGCGCUUGUUAAGUUAUAAAAGCAUCGAAAAUAUAACGGAUCUAAACAAUAUACCGAAACCUUGUCCAUAAAUUAAUGCAGGGAUUCUUGCAUAUUUAUGGGGUAGCAGAACGUUGAAUUAGGCUAAAUAACAAGUUUAUAAAUUUGUUAUGUUAAUUCAAGUGAGAAUGGUGACAUGAGUAACGAAAAGAAUAGUAGAUUUUGGCAAUUAUAUAAAUACAUUAAAUAAUAGAUCUUAUUUAGUGCUUACAAGAUCUACUAUCCGCCUAAAGCUUAUGGUUAGAAUUAAGUAACGGCCUCUAAGCUUUUUAUCUAAAGAUGGAAGCGAUGAGAAAAUCUUUUAUUAUGAGACGACAUUUAUCUAGUGAAAAAUGUACAGGAAAUAUCAUGAUAUAGUAACCGUACCUAGAAACCGACUACGGUAAGCUAGUAGAGUAUACGAAGGCGUAAUUGAGAUAACAAUCAUAAAGGAACUCGGCAAAUUGACUAUCGUAACUUCGGGAUAAGUAGGGCUCAUUAUUCUUGAUUAAUAUCAGGUAAAGAGGAAGAAACAUAAAAGAAUGUUGUACGACUGUUUAAUUAAAACACAGCACUUUGCUUAAAGAUUAAAAAUCUAUGUAUAAAGUGUGAUAUCUGCCCGGUGCCGGCAGGCUAACAGAGAUGAUUGAAUAUAUUACUGUUUGAUAUUGACGGAAGCCCCGGUUAAAGGCGGCCUUAACGUGAGGGUCCUAAGGUAGCGAAAUGCCUUGGCCGUUAAAUGCGGUCUUGCAUGAAUGGUGUAACGAUACAACAGCUGUCUCUAUGAUUGACUCAGUGAAAUUGGAAUAGCUGUGCAGAUACAGCUUACCACUAGUUAGACGAGAAGACCCUUUGCAGCUUUACUGUUACUAAUGAUAGAUUUUGAUGAAAAAUUUUCAGACUAGAAGGAAAUUGAUUAAAUAUAUAUGAGAAACCUUUAUUUUGAUUCUUCAUUUGAAUGAAUUGAUAUACCUACAAGCGUUAGUAUAUCAUCCUAGUUCAGUCUAUAUUCUUAGUUUACUAAGAAAUAGGUAACCUUGGAAAGGAACUAUUACUAGGAGACAGUUUAUGUGGGGCACAGACCCUGUAAAGAGUAAACAGGUGUGUCUAAUAAUUAUUUUUAUUUUGUUUGCUAUUUUUAUAUAAAUCAUAUUCACUUUGAUAUAAUUCUAGUGUAGUACUUGGUGGGCUCCGCCCUAUAAGUUAUACUAUUAUAUUUAUAUCGAAAAUUUAGGUAAGAUUUUGACUAUACUGAAAUUAGAGAUAAUUUGAAAUUUUAUGUAAGUGGGCUCUUUUGAAAAAAAUACUGCAAACUUAAUACUAAAGUUUUAUAGUUAUUCGUAUUUAUAUACGAACUAAUUAUGUUUUGAAUAUCUAAAAAGCUCAACGGCUUAAUCUUGCCUUACUGUUUGAUUAUCGACAAAUCUUACAGUUGCGUAAGCAGAGCAUAGGAUCACAAGAUGCAAUAAGGAAAGAUCUUGGAUUAUUGGAAAAGCUACGCUAGGGAUAACAGGCUAAUUUGCGCAAGAGUGUACAAAAUGAGUGCGCGGUUUGGCACCUCGAUGUCGGCUUAACUUAUCCUCAUGGAUGCAGAAACUGUGUAGGGUGCGACUGUUCGUCGAUUAAAAAGUUACAUGAGCUGGGUUAAAUACGUCGUGAGACAGUAUGGUUUCUAUCUUCUAGUGGAAAUUAGAAUAAAAUAAGAACGAACUUUUGUACGAAAGGAACAAGAAUGAUUUUGUAACUUGUUAUAAUUUUAUUAGCAAGUGACAAGUUAUAGUUACUAACCUAUGGUUUACCUGUUGUUUAUAUGCCCUGUUAUUAAAUAUAUAAAUUGCAUGAAUAUAUUACUAUUAAUAUAUUUAUUAAUUAGUAUUAGCCGCUUUGCAUAAAUAUUUAUAUUUAGAUCAAUACUAUGCUAAUUUAGUAAUACACUACUAUUUAUAUAUAUGUAUAUAUUAAUAAUAUAUACAGAGGAUGUAUCGUUCACUAGGAUAAUAUAUUAUAUAGGCACGGCAGGAAAGCUAAGUUGGUUAAAGAUAAGUGCUGAAAGCAUAUAGGCACGAAGCUUAUCUUAAUAUAUCUCUUAAAUAUAUGUAUUAGAAUAAUACACAAUAGGCUUUCUUUGUAAGAAUCUCGAGAUUUGUAAGAUGAAAGUACUAAUUUUAUAAAAUACUAUGUAUAUAUAUAUCAUUUUUAUUAA
RNAcentral lists this ribosomal RNA (3153 nucleotides) under Beauveria caledonica. RNAcentral's name for it is "large subunit ribosomal RNA". It matches the Rfam family "Bacterial large subunit ribosomal RNA". Lineage: Eukaryota; Fungi; Ascomycota; Sordariomycetes; Hypocreales; Cordycipitaceae. The record is from RNAcentral.